This is a long non-coding RNA of Pseudophryne corroboree (corroboree frog), 2183 nucleotides long. RefSeq lists it as uncharacterized. The record is from RefSeq and is a predicted model, not a curated record. The transcript has 4 exons. NCBI's taxonomy places the organism in Eukaryota, Metazoa, Chordata, Amphibia, Anura, Myobatrachidae.
UUCAGAUAUGCUACAAUCAAAAUACUCCUUAUGUAGCAGUCUGUGAAUUAAGAUGUCAAGAAUCAGAGAAUCUGCUCUGCACUGACUUGUUAUGAAUGGGAUUUGUUAAUCUACAAUAUCAAUGAAGAUUAGAGGUGAAUACCUUGAUGUGAAACUUCAAACAAGACAGGUAAAACCCUUGUAACCUGGCUUUAGGAUAGUUAUAUUUUGGGAACAUGAAUGAAAAGCUGAAAGAAAAAUAUGCGCCACAAGCAGAGUCUACAGAUGCGGUAAAUGAAAGUGUUGGCUGGAAUCCUCAGUUUCCCUGACUGACUAAACUGAUUUUCACAAUAAUGAAUUUCAAUUUCAUGAACAGAUGUGUCCUUAUACACCAAGCCUCAAGACACCUGGCGCAACUGAGCCAUGCUCAGCUCCUUUUUCUUAGUUGCAACGUGAUGUGACAAAACCACUUCACGAGACUAUAUUAGUUAAUUUGAUGUGCGACACCUGUAUAUCUGUGUGAGACUGAGUCUGAAUCUCUAUACGAAGCACACAGAUACUGUAUACAAGUAUCACAUAUCAAAAUAAUCAGAGCAGUCUUCUGAAGUGGCUUUGUUGUAACUCUUUGCAACUAAGAUGCCGAUUCGGGAGAAAAAGACAAUCAGCAUGGCUCACUCGCACUGCAUGGCAUUUUGAGGCUAGAUGUGUGAGGAGACCUCUGUUCAUGAAUUUUAAAUUCAUUAUUCUGAAAAUCAGGGGAGUCAGUCGGGGGAAAUUUGAUUUGUAUGAAAAAGACGCAAAAAAGAUGCUGAGUGCAAAGGGAUCUGGAAGAAGGGAUGUUUGACACAUCUGUAGGGUAUCUUCUCUAAAUGGGCCCAUACAGUACAUCACGUAACUGCAAUUCCCCGUUCUGACGAUGCCUAGGUCAGUAAAAUGUAAUAUGUUGGAAUCGGCGAGUCAGUGAUUUUUAACAUGAUAGAUUUUACAGACCCCUCAAGAAAUUGCUGAUCAUGAGUCCACCGAUUGGUGGAUCAGCAUUGAGUAAUCGCCCCUUAGAUGUAUGGCCCACUUAACACAAUGACACACCAGAGGAGUGAACCGACCAAUUUAUCAUCAGAAGAACUCUCUUGGAAGUAGUAUGGAUGGGUUGCUGUACCAGCUAUGAGUAACAAUCUGUGUCUUUGUGGGUUUAGAUAAGGGGGAUCUUGCUGUCCUACAUGAGGUGCUGUUAAGGAGAGGUAGGAUGAAACUUUGUUACCUGUUUAGGGGCCGAUUUCAGACCUGAUCGCAACAGCAAACUUUUUCUCUAAUGGGCAAAACCAUGUGCAGUGCAGGUGGGGCAGAUUUAACAUGUGCAGAGAAAGUUAGAUCUGGGUGGAGUGUGUUCAAACUGAAAUCUUAAUUUCAAGUUUACUUACAUCCUUAACACAUUUAAGCAAAUGUACAUUUAUUACUGCAUUGCAUGCUUAUUUGUCUCAGUUGCCAUUUCUUGGCACUCACUACCAAGCUAAGCAGUAGAGCCCCAUAAGAAGGCAAAUCCAGUCUUCUAUGCAUUAAUUUAUAGAUAGAUCAAAAUGGAACUGGAUCAAAUAUCUGCUUCAUCAGUUACUCUGAGAUCUGCUCUAAGUUAUAGUGGACACUUUAUUAGGUACACCUGUCUAAACACUUGGUACAGUCACCCUUUGUCUCCAGAACAGUCUGAUUUUUUUUUCAUGGCAUGGAUUCAGCAAAGUGUGUGAAACACUGAUUACAGAUUCUGCUCCAUGGUGAUUUGACAAAAUCACACACUUGCUUAAAUAUCCUUUGCUGCUCCACCUCAUCACUAAGGUGCUCUAUGGGAAUGAGAUCUGGUUGGUGGCUGUUGUGGAAAAUGGAGUACACAGAGCUCAUUUUCACAGAACCAGCUUUAGGUGACAGGUGCUUUGUGGCAUGGAGCAUUAUGCAGCUAGAAGUAACCAUUAGAAGAUGGGUCGCCUGUGACCAUAAAGGGAUACACAUCAUGAGUAAUAAUGCUAAUGUAGGCUGCGGCAUUAAAUACAUGCCCAAUUGUUAUUAAGGGACCUAAUGUGAGCUAAGAAAACAUUACUCACAACUAUUGCACCGCCACAAACCUGACCCUUUGCCAUAAGUCGCAGCAGACAUUACUCAGACCAGGUAAUGUUUAUAAACCAUUUAACCCCUUCAGAGGCAGGUUUUAAAUUUAA